RNAcentral lists this ribosomal RNA (253 nucleotides) under uncultured bacterium. RNAcentral describes it as "partial 16S ribosomal RNA". It matches the Rfam family "Bacterial small subunit ribosomal RNA", at positions 524 to 776 of the family's 1533-position model. The record is from RNAcentral.
UACGGGGGGGGCAAGCGUUGUUCGGAAUUACUGGGCGUAAAGGGCUCGUAGGCGGCCAACUAAGUCAGACGUGAAAUCCCUCGGCUUAACCGGGGAACUGCAUCUGAUACUGGAUGGCUUGAGUUCGGGAGAGGGAUGCGGAAUUCCAGGUGUAGCGGUGAAAUUCGUAGAUAUUCGCAAGAACACCAGUGGCGAAGGCGGCCAACUGGUCCAUUACUGACGCUGAGGUGCGAAAGCGUGGGGAGCAAACAGG